GCUCCGGUGGCCUAGUGGUUAGAGCGUCCGUCUCUGAUGCGGGAGGUCGAUGGUUCGAUGCUCGGUCGAGACA
Potamilus streckersoni is the source of this 73-nucleotide non-coding RNA. NCBI's taxonomy places the organism in Eukaryota, Metazoa, Mollusca, Bivalvia, Unionida, Unionidae. The record is from the annotation of a GenBank genome assembly.